This 647-nucleotide ribosomal RNA is filed under the name Bacillus sp. (in: firmicutes). RNAcentral's name for it is "bacterial SSU rRNA". It matches the Rfam family "Bacterial small subunit ribosomal RNA", at positions 49 to 681 of the family's 1533-position model. The record is from RNAcentral. Lineage: Bacteria; Bacillati; Bacillota; Bacilli; Caryophanales; Bacillaceae.
CUAUACAUGCAGUCGAGCGGACAGAUGGGAGCUUGCUCCCUGAUGUUAGCGGCGGACGGGUGAGUAACACGUGGGUAACCUGCCUGUAAGACUGGGAUAACUCCGGGAAACCGGGGCUAAUACCGGAUGGUUGUUUGAACCGCAUGGUUCAGACAUAAAAGGUGGCUUCGGCUACCACUUACAGAUGGACCCGCGGCGCAUUAGCUAGUUGGUGAGGUAACGGCUCACCAAGGCGACGAUGCGUAGCCGACCUGAGAGGGUGAUCGGCCACACUGGGACUGAGACACGGCCCAGACUCCUACGGGAGGCAGCAGUAGGGAAUCUUCCGCAAUGGACGAAAGUCUGACGGAGCAACGCCGCGUGAGUGAUGAAGGUUUUCGGAUCGUAAAGCUCUGUUGUUAGGGAAGAACAAGUGCCGUUCAAAUAGGGCGGCACCUUGACGGUACCUAACCAGAAAGCCACGGCUAACUACGUGCCAGCAGCCCCGGUAAUACGUAGGUGGCAAGCGUUGUCCGGAAUUAUUGGGCGUAAAGGGCUCGCAGGGGGGUUCUUAAGUCUGAUGUGAAAGCCCCCCGCUCAACCGGGGAGGGGCAUUGGAAACUGGGGAAUUUUUUGCAGAAUACGANAAUUAAUUCCACCUGUAUUCU